Lathyrus oleraceus (garden pea) is the source of this 732-nucleotide long non-coding RNA. RefSeq lists it as uncharacterized. NCBI's taxonomy places the organism in Eukaryota, Viridiplantae, Streptophyta, Magnoliopsida, Fabales, Fabaceae. The record is from RefSeq and is a predicted model, not a curated record. The transcript has 3 exons.
UUAAAGCAUGAGUAACACUCGGUUCACAGACUUCAUGAUUUUGAGCAUCCUGUUAUGGAUUGAUGUUGGCAUGGAAAUGAUGUUGUAUCUUGUUGAUGUCUAUCGUUUUGCAGGUUUUUGAGUAUACUUGUGGUGUGAACUGACCAUGUCCUGUUGCAGCUUGAAAUGUUUGCCUUUAUCUGUUUGAAUUGUGGCUCAAGUUUGGUUCAUGGUAUGCUCAAAUACAUGGCCCUGAUUAAUGCGCGACUGUUUGGCAUGUGUGUGCAGGUCUUGCUUUGCAUCAUGUUGUUUUUGAGCUACAUUGGUUGCAGGCUACAUGAUGGUUUAUUGGCUUGCAAGAUGAAGGAUGCUAGGCAUGGUGUAGCAAGGCAAACAGGGAAAAUGGCCUGAGUUGGCAGCAUGUGUUCUAACUUGUUGUGGCAUGAACCUGGCAGGAGCAUAUUGAUCUUGGAAUCAAAUAUGAAAAAUCUACUGGUAUCUAUGGUGUGGUGUGAGGUUACUGUCAUGGUUGUUUUUCCAGCAGGGUCAUGGCAUUUGGAUGGUGAUGAAUUGGAAAGUUAUGGACUAUGCCCAUGGAGGAUUGCAAUUGCUGCAAUGUUUUGUUCUUUAUAACCGAAGGUUAUUUUUGAAGUAUACAUCAAAAUGCAUUCGACAUAUAGCAUCUUCAUUGAACCAUCCAUUUCAAAAGUUUUGAGAACACGAUGAGCCAACAGGAGACCGGUGCAGUAGGCU